GAUGAACGCUGGCGGCGUGCCUAAUACAUGCAAGUCGAGCGAACAGACGAGGAGCUUGCUCCUCUCACGUUUGCGGCGCACGGGUGAGUCACACGUGUAUCACCUCCCUAUAAGACUGGGAUAUCUUCGAGAAACCGGCUCUAAUCCCGUAUAAUAUCUUGAACCGUGUGGUUCAAUAGUGAGAUACGGUGUUGCUGUCUCUUAUAGCUGCAUCCGCGCCGGAUUAGCUAGUUGGUAAGGUAACGGCUUACCACGGCAACGAUGCGUAGCCGACGGGAGAGGGGGAUAGGCGACAUUGGAGCUGGGACAGGGACCAGACUCCUACGGGAGGGAGCAGUAGGGAAUCGGCCGCAAUGGGCGGAAGCUUGACGGAGCAACGGCGCGUGAGUGAUGAAGGUCUUCGGAUCGUAAAACUGUGUUAUUAGGGAAGAACAAAUGUGUAAGUAGCUAUAGACGUCUUGACGGUACCUAAUCAGAAAGCCACGGCUAACUACGUG
Molecule: ribosomal RNA, 497 nt
Filed under: uncultured bacterium
Lineage: Bacteria
Description: partial 16S ribosomal RNA
Rfam family: Bacterial small subunit ribosomal RNA
Source: RNAcentral